RNAcentral lists this ribosomal RNA (465 nucleotides) under uncultured bacterium. RNAcentral's name for it is "partial 16S ribosomal RNA". It matches the Rfam family "Bacterial small subunit ribosomal RNA", at positions 28 to 507 of the family's 1533-position model. The record is from RNAcentral.
GACGAACGCUGGCGGCGUGCUUAACACAUGCAAGUCGAACGGAAAGGCCCUGCUUGCAGGGUACUCGAGUGGCGAACGGGUGAGUAACACGUGGGUGAUCUGCCCUGCACUUCGGGAUAAGCCUGGGAAACUGGGUCUAAUACCGGAUAGGAGCCAUUUUUAGUGUGAUGGUUGGAAAGUUUUUUCGGUGUAGGAUGAGCUCGCGGCCUAUCAGCUUGUUGGUGGGGUAAUGGCCUACCAAGGCGGCGACGGGUAGCCGGCCUGAGAGGGUGGACGGCCACAUUGGGACUGAGAUACGGCCCAGACUCCUACGGGAGGCAGCAGUGGGGAAUAUUGCACAAUGGGCACAAGCCUGAUGCAGCGACGCCGCGUGGGGGAUGACGGCCUUCGGGUUGGAAACUCCUUUCGCUAGGGACGAAGCUUUUUGUGACGGUACCUAGAUAAGAAGCACCGGCUAACUACGUG